Molecule: ribosomal RNA, 807 nt
Filed under: uncultured bacterium
Lineage: Bacteria
Description: bacterial SSU rRNA
Rfam family: Bacterial small subunit ribosomal RNA
Source: RNAcentral
GGUGAGUAACACGUAGGUGAUCUGUCCCUGGGUGGGGUAUAGCCCAUGGAAACAUGGGGUAAUACCGCAUGAGGUCCUGGCGGUGAGAACUCCGGGAUGAAAGGCGCAAUUGUGUUGCCUGGGGAUGAGCCUGCGGCUCAUUAGCUAGUUGGUGAGGUAAAGGCCCACCAAGGCGACGAUGGGUAGCCGGCCUGAGAGGGUGUACGGCCACACUGGGACUGAGACACGGCCCAGACUCCUACGGGAGGCAGCAGCUAAGAAUCUUCCGCAAUGGGGGAAACCCUGACGGAGCGACGCCGCGUGGACGAAGAAGGCCGCAAGGUUGUAAAGUCCUUUUGCAGGCGAAGAAUAAGGCGAAGAGUGGAAAGCUUGGUCGAUGACGUUAGCCUGCGAAUAAGCCCCGGCCAAUUACGUGCCAGCAGCCGCGGUAACACGUAUGGGGCAAGCGUUGUUCGGAAUUACUGGGCGUAAAGGGCGUGUAGGCGGUUUCGUAAGCCUGGCGUGAAAGUCAUCGGCCUAACCGAUGGACGGCGCUGGGAACUGCGGGACUGGAGCUUUGGAGGGGGAGCUGGAAUUCCAGGUGUAGGGGUGAAAUCUGUAGAGAUCUGGAAGAACACCGGAGGCGAAGGCGAGCUCAUGGCCAAUGACUGACGCUGAGGCGCGAAAGCGUGGGGAGCAAACAGGAUUAGAUACCCUGGUAGUCCACGCUGUAAACGAUGUGCACUAGGUGUUGGUGCCAUACGGGCAUCGGUGCUGUAGCUAAAGGCGAUUAUGUGCACCGCCUGGGGAGUAUGCUCGCAACGCGUG